RNAcentral lists this ribosomal RNA (253 nucleotides) under uncultured bacterium. RNAcentral's name for it is "partial 16S ribosomal RNA". It matches the Rfam family "Bacterial small subunit ribosomal RNA", at positions 524 to 776 of the family's 1533-position model. The record is from RNAcentral.
UACGGGGGGGGCAAGCGUUGUUCGGAAUUACUGGGCGUAAAGGGCUCGUAGGCGGCCAACUAAGUCAGACGUGAAAUCCCUCGGCUUAACCGGGGAACUGCAUCUGAUACUGGAUGGCUUGAGUUCGGGAGAGGGAUGUGGAAUUCCAGGUGUAGCGGUGAAAUGCGUAGAUAUCUGGAGGAACACCGGUGGCGAAGGCGGCAUCCUGGACCAGUACCGACGUUCAGGCACGAAAGCGUGGGGAGCAAACAGG